AUCCAGCUGACGAGUCCCAAAUAGGACGAAAUGCGCAUCGAACUGGAU
This is a non-coding RNA of Schistosoma margrebowiei, 48 nucleotides long. The record is from Rfam. Lineage: Eukaryota; Metazoa; Platyhelminthes; Trematoda; Strigeidida; Schistosomatidae.